AUGCACGACACAGGCCUCUCCGCCCGCACUGCCGGUGCCUCCUCGUCGUCACCGGCCACCAACGCCGGCGACGACGUCGACGAGUCCAAGACCCGGAAGGCGCAGCCCGCCUUCGUCGCCGCGGCCUACGCCCGGCUCCACUCCCCUUACUAUGCGGCCGCCUCCCUUCUCCUCCUCGCCCUCGCCGCCGCUGCCUUCCUCGCCGGCCGAGCUUUCCCCCGGACCGACUGCCCGCCGCUGCGCCUCGACGCGCGCUUCCUCUCCCUCCCUGACGCCGCCGCGGCCUCCGACUUCGGAUCCCUCGGCGUCCCCUCGUGCAGAUCCAAAACUGGGAGGACAGUGGAGUGGACUUCGAAAGAUUUACUUAAUGGUCUGGAAGAAUUUGUGCCAAUCUAUCAGACACGCCCUAUCAAGAAUAACAUGCAUGGAAUGAGAUUUGACCACAGUUUUGGUCUUUGGUUUAUGGCUCGAUGGCUUAAGCCAAACCUGAUGAUUGAGAGUGGCGCAUUCAAGGGGCACUCAACUUGGGUUUUGCGUCAGGCCAUGCCAAACACUAGGAUUAUAUCUCUCACACCCAGACACCCUGAGAAAUAUCUUAAGAAGGGACCUGCGUAUGUUGAUGGAAACUGCACUUAUCUGGCUGGGAAGGAUUUUAUUGACUUUGGAAGUGUCGAUUGGGAAAAACUGUUGAGGAAGCAUGGCAUUUCUGAUCCCAGCAAGGUGCUUGUUUUCUUUGAUGACCACCAAAGUGAGCUGAAGAGGUUAAAGCAGGCACACAAAGCUGGAUUCCGGCAUCUCAUAUUUGAGGACAACUAUGACACUGGUACAGGCGACCAUUAUUCCUUGAGACAGAUAUGUGAUCAAUCACACAUCAGAGGUGGUGGACAUAGCUGCUUCUGGGAUAGUGACGAAGCAAGAUUAAGGUCGGAACGAAUGAAGUUUUGGGGGAAGGCUGUGGACAUAGAUGAACUAUGUGGAAAGGAUGAUGCAUGGUGGGGUGUCAGAGGUUACAUGCGUGACAAUUUCAACCAUAGCAAUGAGGCCAUCUCACACAAAGAGCAUUUCCAGAACAGCAGGCUUGUUGAAUCUGUGUUGGAUCUGUAUUGGGAACUACCUCCUGUUGCUGGGCCGUCCUUAACUCAUCAGACAAGAUAUGACCCAGCCCGCGCUUCUGAUCCUAUCAUUGAAGAUGGACGCCAUGGCUUGUUUCAAAGAAUUGGCCUGAGUAGAUUGGACGCUUCAGUGUUCAACGGUUACACUCAGAUGGCAUACGUUCAGAUAUCAGGCACAAUGCUCAGAAGAGAGGAUGAUUGA
This 1314-nucleotide ribosomal RNA is filed under the name Triticum aestivum (bread wheat). RNAcentral describes it as "partial small subunit ribosomal RNA". The record is from RNAcentral. Lineage: Eukaryota; Viridiplantae; Streptophyta; Magnoliopsida; Poales; Poaceae.